Molecule: ribosomal RNA, 233 nt
Filed under: uncultured bacterium
Lineage: Bacteria
Description: partial 16S ribosomal RNA
Rfam family: Bacterial small subunit ribosomal RNA
Source: RNAcentral
UACGGGGGGGGGCAAGCGUUGUUCGGAAUUACUGGGCGUAAAGGGCUCGUAGGCGGCCCUCUCAGUCGGAUGUGAAAUCCCCAGGCUCAACUUGGGAACGGCAUCCGAUACUGGAGGGCUUGAAUUCGGGAGAGGGAUGCAGAAUUCCAGGUGUAGCGGUGAAAUGCGUAGAUAUCUGGAGGAAUACCGGUGGCGAAGGCGGCAUCCUGGACCGAGAUUGACUGCUGAGGAGC